UAUGCAAAUCACCACCUAGAUAACCAGAUGAAAUGACAGGGCACAUUUAUUUAAAAUCAGGCUUAUUCUGAUUCUGGAGACAUUUUCUGGGAGCCAAAGACAUUAUCCAAAAGAACAUGAAAGCCUUGUGUUUCUUCCUGUUUCUGGUGGCAGCUUCCAGAUGUGUCCUGUCCCAGGUACAGCUGAAGGAAUCGGGACCUGGCCUGGUGAAGCCCUCGGAGACCCUGUCCCUCACCUGCUCUGUCUCUGGAUUCUCUUUAUCCAGCUAUUAUAUGAGCUGGAUCCGGCAGGCUCCAGGAAAGGGGCUGGAGUGGGUUGGUAGGAUAAGCAAUAGUGGAAGCACAUACUACAACCCAACUCUUAAGUCCCGAGUCACCAUCACCAAGGACAACUCCAAGAAUGAAGUUUAUUUAAAGCUCAGCAGCCUGAGUCCUGAAGACACGGCCGUGUAUUACUGUGUGAGAGACACAGUGAGGGGAAGUCAGGGUGAGCCCAGACACAAACCUCCCCUGAGGGCACAGGAGGGGCUAGGCUGUCUUGGGUGA
Non-coding RNA from Choloepus didactylus (southern two-toed sloth), 545 nucleotides. The record is from the annotation of a RefSeq genome assembly. NCBI's taxonomy places the organism in Eukaryota, Metazoa, Chordata, Mammalia, Pilosa, Megalonychidae.